Molecule: ribosomal RNA, 1089 nt
Filed under: Triticum aestivum (bread wheat)
Lineage: Eukaryota; Viridiplantae; Streptophyta; Magnoliopsida; Poales; Poaceae
Description: partial small subunit ribosomal RNA
Source: RNAcentral
AUGCAGAAAUUACCUCCAAUCAGGACUGGCAGAACUACAGCACCACCUGGUUUUGGAGCUCAUGCUAACUUGGAAACAGCAAGUGCUAUGGGAACACCAGUAACACAAAGAAGGGGAGAUCAUACUCCUGCUUUCCAACAAUAUCAGCAACCAGCUAGAGACAGACAGUUGUGGCAGGAUUACUUUAGAACCUAUGAGCAGGAUAUGCAGGUUCAGUUCAUGAAAGCAAUGACAAAAGGUCCAAGGAUGGAUUUUCCUAGAUUUUCUGGUGAAGAUCCUGUUGGCUGGAUUCGACAGUGCAACAAGUACUUCCAAAUGGCAGGAGCACCUGAAGAAUAUAAGGUAUCACUCUCUCAAAUGUACAUGACAGGAGAUGCUGAUGUAUGGUUGAGGAGAUCUGGCCUACUCAAGAAACAACUGUCAUGGCAAGAAUUUGGAAAAGAAAUCAUUAAGAGAUUUUCUGCCCAAGGCUCUUAUGACCUCACUGAACAAUUCACUUCUCUGAAACAAGGAAGCAAUUCAGUGUCAGAGUAUACCAAGAUGUUUGAAGAUUUAAUGGCUGAACUGCAGGAGGAAAAUCCUACAUUAUCUGAACUCUGGUUUGUAAAGUGCUAUGUUAAUGGGAUGAGAGAUGGAAUUAAGUACCAAUUGAGACUUCUUAGACCCACUUCCCUAACUGAUGCCUACUGUUUGGCAAAAGAGAUUGAACCUUGUCACCCCCCUCCUGUGACACAUAUCAAGAAGUCAACAACUCCUUACAAUAACUACUGGCAGAAAAAUGUAGUGCCCACAGCAGGGAAACAGGUGAUCAACACUGCAACAGCUCCAACAACUAGUAACACAAAGAACAAUGAACAUGUUAACAGUCAUAUUCAGAAAAGCAGGAAAGCAGGUGAAUGUUGGAGGUGUGGAGAUAAGUGGUUUCAUGGCCACAAAUGCACUUUAGUACCUAAUGUGCACAUGUUACAGCAAGAAAUGGAAGAAACUGGUCCAUAUGAAACUGACAUUGAUCAACAGGAAGUAGUAGAGGAAGGAACAGAACAGCAAGAGCAAGCAAUGUUUAUCUCUGCACAUGCUAUGGGCCAGUAG